AUCUCUUUCUUGGCCUUUUAUCCAAAAUCAAGCGUAAUAUCUAUUCUUGUCAAUUUUAUGCCAGACAUAUCUUCAGUUUGAGGACUUCAUGUUAAAUGGGUGUGGGAAAUGGAAGGUCAACUUGGAGCUUGCUCUGUGCCUUGACCUAGCAAUGCAGUUCCACUGGGAAGAGAGCU
This is a small nuclear RNA of Amazona collaria (yellow-billed parrot), 176 nucleotides long. Its record names the gene U2. It matches the Rfam family "U2 spliceosomal RNA". From Rfam's summary of the family: U2 is a small nuclear RNA (snRNA) component of the spliceosome (involved in pre-mRNA splicing). Complementary binding between U2 snRNA (in an area lying towards the 5' end but 3' to hairpin I) and the branchpoint sequence (BPS) of the intron results the bulging out of an unpaired adenosine, on the BPS, which initiates a nucleophilic attack at the intronic 5' splice site, thus starting the first of two transesterification reactions that mediate splicing. Lineage: Eukaryota; Metazoa; Chordata; Aves; Psittaciformes; Psittacidae. The record is from Ensembl.